GAAGAAGUCAGAUGACAAGAGCAGCAAAGCCAGUUCAGGGAACGAAGUUUCUUCAGGUGAUGCUAACAAUAAAGAGCUAGAGAAGCUAGACGAGGAAAUGGAAAUUCUUUGGAAAAAGGUGCUACCUGAAGCAGCAUAUUUGCGCCUAAAGGAAUCAGAAACUGGUCUUCACCUUAAGUCACCCGACGAGUUGAUCAGUAUGGCACAUAAAUACUACGCUGAUACUGCCCUUCCAAAACUGGUUGCUGAUUUUGGGUCACUGGAG
This 265-nucleotide unclassified non-coding RNA is filed under the name Hevea brasiliensis (rubber tree). Lineage: Eukaryota; Viridiplantae; Streptophyta; Magnoliopsida; Malpighiales; Euphorbiaceae. The record is from RNAcentral.